GACGAACGCUGGCGGCGUGCUUAACACAUGCAAGUCGAACGGAAAGGCCCUGCUUUUGUGGGGUGCUCGAGUGGCGAACGGGGGAGUAACACGUGAGUAACCUGCCCUUGACUUUGGGAUAACUUCAGGAAACUGGGGCUAAUAUCGGAUAGGAGCUCCUGCUGCAGGGUGGGGGUUGGAAAGUUUCGGCGGUUGGGGAUGGACUCGCGGCUUAUCAGCUUGUUGGUGGGGUAGUGGCUUACCAAGGCUGUGACGGGUAGCCGGCCUGGGAGCGUGGCCGGCCACAUUGGGACUACGGUACGGACCAGUCUCCAACGGGAGGCAAUGGUGGGGAGUCUUACACAGUGGGCGGGCGCCUGUGACGGCGGCGCCGCGUGCGGAAUGCCGGCCUUCGGGUUGAGAACCGCUUUCGCCUGAGACGAAGCGUGAGUGACGGUACUGAGUAAAGAAGCACCGGCUAACUACGUG
RNAcentral lists this ribosomal RNA (468 nucleotides) under uncultured bacterium. Its description in RNAcentral is "partial 16S ribosomal RNA". It matches the Rfam family "Bacterial small subunit ribosomal RNA", at positions 28 to 507 of the family's 1533-position model. The record is from RNAcentral.